This 425-nucleotide ribosomal RNA is filed under the name Mantidactylus melanopleura. RNAcentral describes it as "partial 16S ribosomal RNA". It matches the Rfam family "Bacterial large subunit ribosomal RNA", at positions 2008 to 2597 of the family's 2925-position model. Lineage: Eukaryota; Metazoa; Chordata; Amphibia; Anura; Mantellidae. The record is from RNAcentral.
GGGUUAGACUGUCUCCUUUUUCAAAUCAGUGAAAUUAAUCUCCCCGUGAAGAAGCGGGGAUACUCAUAUAAGACGAGAAGACCCCAUGGAGCUUCAAACCCAACUACACCCCUAGCUCUUAUAGCCCCACAACCCCCCUAGGCGCCGUGUGCUUGGUUUUAGGUUGGGGCGACCGCGGAGUACAAUAAAACCUCCACAAUGAAUGGGAACACCCCCUUAUCUGAGGGCCACACCCCCUAAGAAUUAGAACACUAACAUAAAAUGAUCCAUUACUUGAUCAAUGAACCAAGUUACCCUGGGGAUAACAGCGCAAUCCAUUUCAAGAGCCCCUAUCGACAAAUGGGUUUACGACCUCGAUGUUGGAUCAGGGUACCCCAGUGGUGCAGCAGCUACUAACGGUUCGUUUGUUCAACGAUUAAAACCCU